This 431-nucleotide ribosomal RNA is filed under the name uncultured bacterium. RNAcentral's name for it is "bacterial SSU rRNA". It matches the Rfam family "Bacterial small subunit ribosomal RNA", at positions 28 to 460 of the family's 1533-position model. The record is from RNAcentral.
AUUGAACGCUGGCGGCAUGCUUUACACAUGCAAGUCGAACGGCAGCACGGGUGCUUGCACCUGGUGGCGAGUGGCGAACGGGUGAGUAAUGCAUCGGAACGUGCCCAUGAGUGGGGGAUAGCCCGGCGAAAGCCGGAUUAAUACCGCAUACGCCCUUAGGGGGAAAGCGGGGGAUCUUCGGACCUCGCGCUAUUGGAGCGGCCGAUGUCGGAUUAGCUAGUAGGUGGGGUAAAGGCUCACCUAGGCGACGAUCCGUAGCUGGUCUGAGAGGAUGAUCAGCCACACUGGGACUGAGACACGGCCCAGACUCCUACGGGAGGCAGCAGUGGGGAAUUUUGGACAAUGGGCGAAAGCCUGAUCCAGCCAUGCCGCGUGAGUGAAGAAGGCCUCGGUUGUAAGUACGUCUUCUAGUGAGAAGAAGUAGGCGCGUG